Molecule: ribosomal RNA, 433 nt
Filed under: uncultured bacterium
Lineage: Bacteria
Description: bacterial SSU rRNA
Rfam family: Bacterial small subunit ribosomal RNA
Source: RNAcentral
GAGUUUGAUCUUGGCUCAGGAUAAACGCUGGCGGCGCACAUAAGACAUGCAAGUCGAACGGACAGAAUCCGAAUGUUUCAUUUGGAGGAUGUUAGUGGCGGACUGGUGAGUAACGCGUGAGGAACCUGCCCUGGAGUGGGGAAUAACAGUUAGAAAUGACUGCUAAUACCGCAUGAUGCAGUUGAGUCGCAUGGCUCUGACUGCCAAAGAUUUAUCGCUCUGGGAUGGACUCGCGUCUGAUUAGCUAGUAGGCGGGGUAACGGCCCACCUAGGCGACGAUCAGUAGCCGGACUGAGAGGUUGGCCGGCCACAUUGGGACUGAGACACGGCCCAGACUCCUACGGGAGGCAGCAGUGGGGAAUAUUGGGCAAUGGGCGCAAGCCUGACCCAGCAACGCCGCGUGAAGGAAGAAGGCUUUCGGGUUGUAAACUUC